This 1065-nucleotide ribosomal RNA is filed under the name Vibrio sp. RNAcentral's name for it is "bacterial SSU rRNA". It matches the Rfam family "Bacterial small subunit ribosomal RNA", at positions 62 to 1106 of the family's 1533-position model. The record is from RNAcentral. Lineage: Bacteria; Pseudomonadati; Pseudomonadota; Gammaproteobacteria; Vibrionales; Vibrionaceae.
UCGAGCGGAAACGAGUUAUCUGAACCUUCGGGGGACGAUAACGGCGUCGAGCGGCGGACGGGUGAGUAAUGCCUAGGAAAUUGCCCUGAUGUGGGGGAUAACCAUUGGAAACGAUGGCUAAUACCGCAUGAUGCCUACGGGCCAAAGAGGGGGACCUUCGGGCCUCUCGCGUCAGGAUAUGCCUAGGUGGGAUUAGCUAGUUGGUGAGGUAAGGGCUCACCAAGGCGACGAUCCCUAGCUGGUCUGAGAGGAUGAUCAGCCACACUGGAACUGAGACACGGUCCAGACUCCUACGGGAGGCAGCAGUGGGGAAUAUUGCACAAUGGGCGCAAGCCUGAUGCAGCCAUGCCGCGUGUGUGAAGAAGGCCUUCGGGUUGUAAAGCACUUUCAGUCGUGAGGAAGGUAGUGUAGUUAAUAGCUGCAUUAUUUGACGUUAGCGACAGAAGAAGCACCGGCUAACUCCGUGCCAGCAGCCGCGGUAAUACGGAGGGUGCGAGCGUUAAUCGGAAUUACUGGGCGUAAAGCGCAUGCAGGUGGUUUGUUAAGUCAGAUGUGAAAGCCCGGGGCUCAACCUCGGAAUUGCAUUUGAAACUGGCAGACUAGAGUACUGUAGAGGGGGGUAGAAUUUCAGGUGUAGCGGUGAAAUGCGUAGAGAUCUGAAGGAAUACCGGUGGCGAAGGCGGCCCCCUGGACAGAUACUGACACUCAGAUGCGAAAGCGUGGGGAGCAAACAGGAUUAGAUACCCUGGUAGUCCACGCCGUAAACGAUGUCUACUUGGAGGUUGUGGCCUUGAGCCGUGGCUUUCGGAGCUAACGCGUUAAGUAGACCGCCUGGGGAGUACGGUCGCAAGAUUAAAACUCAAAUGAAUUGACGGGGGCCCGCACAAGCGGUGGAGCAUGUGGUUUAAUUCGAUGCAACGCGAAGAACCUUACCUACUCUUGACAUCCAGAGAACUUUCCAGAGAUGGAUUGGUGCCUUCGGGAACUCUGAGACAGGUGCUGCAUGGCUGUCGUCAGCUCGUGUUGUGAAAUGUUGGGUUAAGUCCCGCAACGAGCGCAACCCUU